This 468-nucleotide ribosomal RNA is filed under the name uncultured bacterium. RNAcentral describes it as "partial 16S ribosomal RNA". It matches the Rfam family "Bacterial small subunit ribosomal RNA", at positions 28 to 507 of the family's 1533-position model. The record is from RNAcentral.
GACGAACGCUGGCGGCGUGCUUAACACAUGCAAGUCGAACGGAAAGGCCCUGCUUUUGUGGGGUGCUCGAGUGGCGAACGGGUGAGUAACACGUGAGUAACCUGCCCUUGACUUUGGGAUAACUUCAGGAAACUGGGGCUAAUACCGGAUAGGAGCUCCUGCUGCAUGGUGGGGGUUGGAAAGUUUCGGCGGUUGGGGAUGGACUCGCGGCUUAUCAGCUUGUUGGUGGGGUAGUGGCUUACCAAGGCUUUGACGGGUAGCCGGCCUGAGAGGGUGACCGGCCACAUUGGGACUGAGAUACGGGCCAGACUCCUACGGGAGGCAGCAGUGGGGAAUAGUGCACGAUGGGCGGAAGCCUGAUGCAGCAACGCCGCGUGCGGGAUGACGGCCUUCGGGGUGUAAACCGCUUUCGCCUGUGACGAAGCGUGAGUGACGGUAAUGGGUAAAGAAGCACCGGCUAACUACGUG